UACGUAGGGUGCAAGCGUUAAUCGGAAUUACUGGGCGUAAAGCGUGCGCAGGCGGUUUUGUAAGUCUGUCGUGAAAGCCCCGGGCUCAACCUGGGAAUUGCGAUGGAGACUGCAAGGCUUGAAUCUGGCAGAGGGGGGUAGAAUUCCACGUGUAGCAGUGAAGUGCGUAGAGGUGUGGAGGAACACCGAUGGCGAAGGCAGCCCCCUGGGUCAAGAUUGACGCUCAUGCACGAAAGCGUGGGGAGCAAACAGG
Molecule: ribosomal RNA, 253 nt
Filed under: uncultured bacterium
Lineage: Bacteria
Description: partial 16S ribosomal RNA
Rfam family: Bacterial small subunit ribosomal RNA
Source: RNAcentral